UACGUAGGGUGCAAGCGUUAAUCGGAAUUACUGGGCGUAAAGCGUGCGCAGGCGGUUUUGUAAGUCUGUCGUGAAAUCCCCGGGCUCAACCUGGGAACUGCAUUUGUGACUGCAUAGCUAGAGUACGGUAGAGGGGGAUGGAAUUCCGCGUGUAGCAGUGAAAUGCGUAGAUAUGCGGAGGAACACCGAUGGCGAAGGCAAUCCCCUGGACCUGUACUGACGCUCAUGCACGAAAGCGUGGGGAGCAAACAGG
RNAcentral lists this ribosomal RNA (253 nucleotides) under uncultured bacterium. RNAcentral's name for it is "partial 16S ribosomal RNA". It matches the Rfam family "Bacterial small subunit ribosomal RNA", at positions 524 to 776 of the family's 1533-position model. The record is from RNAcentral.